RNAcentral lists this ribosomal RNA (990 nucleotides) under uncultured organism. RNAcentral's name for it is "bacterial SSU rRNA". It matches the Rfam family "Bacterial small subunit ribosomal RNA", at positions 515 to 1490 of the family's 1533-position model. The record is from RNAcentral.
CCGCGGUAACACGGAAGCCCCGAGCGUUGUUCGGAUUCAUUGGGCGUAAAAGGGUGCUUAGCCGGCGCGGAAAGUCCGGCGUGAAAGCCAGGGGCUCAACCUCUGGACUGCGUUUGGAUACUUCCGUGCUUGAGGACUGGAGGGGAGACUGGAAUUCACGGUGUAGCAGUGAAAUGCGUAGAUAUCGUGAGGAAGACCGGCGGCGAAGGCGAGUCUCUGGACAGAUCCUGACGCUGAGGCACGAAGGCUGGGGGAGCGAACAGGAUUAGAUACCCUGGUAGUCCCAGCAGUAAACGAUGUGAGCUUGAUGUGGGGGGAUUCGACCCCUUCCGUGUCGAAGCUAACGCGAUAAGCUCACCGCCUGAGGAGUACGGCCGCAAGGCUAAAACUCGAAGAAAUUGACGGGGACCCGCACAAGCGGUGGAGUAUGUGGCUUAAUUCGAUGCAACGCGAAGAACCUUACCUGGCCUUGACAUGCAUUGUGUCGUCGGUGAAAGCCGGCUAGUCCUGGAAACAGGACGCUUUGCACAGGUGCUGCAUGGCUGUCGUCAGCUCGUGUCGUGAGAUGUUGGGUUAAGUCCCGCAACGAGCGCAACCCUUGUGGUCAGUUACUAACCGGCUUAGCCGGAGGACUCUGGCCAGACUGCCCUGUCAAACGGGGGGGAAGGUGGGGACGACGUCAAGUCAGUAUGGCCCUUAUGGCCAGGGCUGCACACGUACUACAAUGCCCGGUACAAUGUGAACCGAAACCGCGAGGUGGAGGAAAUCGCUCUUGAAAACCGGGCCCAGUUCGGAUUGGAGUCUGCAACUCGACUCCAUGAAGUCGGAAUCGCUAGUAAUGGCGUAUCAGCAACGACGCCGUGAAUACGUUCCCGGGUCUUGUACACACCGCCCGUCACAUCAUGGAAGUCUCCUGUACCCGAAGCACGUGCGCCAACCUUUUAGGAGGCAGCGUUCGAAGGUAUGGGAGGCAACUGGGAUGAAGUCGUA